Molecule: ribosomal RNA, 514 nt
Filed under: Oncomelania hupensis hupensis
Lineage: Eukaryota; Metazoa; Mollusca; Gastropoda; Littorinimorpha; Pomatiopsidae
Description: partial large subunit ribosomal RNA
Rfam family: Bacterial large subunit ribosomal RNA
Source: RNAcentral
ACAUGGCUCUUUGAGAUUUAUAUAUAAAGAGUCGGGCCUGCCCAGUGAUGUAUUUUUAACGGCCGCGGUACUCUGACCGUGCGAAGGUAGCAUAAUCAUUUGCCCUAUAAUUGAGGGCUAGUAUGAAUGGUUUGACAUGAGCAUAACUGUCUCCUUAAAAUUUUAUAAAAUUUGGUUUUUAGGUGAAGAAACCUAAAUUAAAUUGAAAGACAAGAAGACCCUAUCGAGCUUUAGAAUAAUUAGUUAAAAAAUAUAAAUAAAACAAUUAAUUUUAAUUAAAAACUUUGGUUGGGGCGACUGAGGAACAUAUAAAGCUUCCUUAAUUAGACAAUGCUGAUAAGCAAUGAUCCAGGAAAUCUGAUUAAAAAAAUUAGUUACCGUAGGGAUAACAGCAUAAUCUUUUUUGAGAGCUCUUAUCGAAAAAAAGGUUUGUGACCUCGAUGUUGGACUAGGAUAUCCUAAAGAUGUAGAAGUCUUUAAUGGUUGCUCUGUUCGAGCAUAAAAAUCCUACGUG